RNAcentral lists this ribosomal RNA (486 nucleotides) under uncultured bacterium. Its description in RNAcentral is "partial 16S ribosomal RNA". It matches the Rfam family "Bacterial small subunit ribosomal RNA", at positions 899 to 1397 of the family's 1533-position model. The record is from RNAcentral.
ACUCAAAGGAAUAGACGGGGGCCCGCACAAGCAGCGGAGCGUGCGGUUCAAUUCGAUGGUACGCGAAGAACCUUACCCAGACUUGACAUGCAGGUGGUACCGAGCCGAAAGGUGAGGGACCCGCAAGGGAGCCUGCAAUGGUGUUGCACGGCCGUCGUCAGCUCGUGUCGUGAGAUGUUGGGUUAAGUCCCGCAACGAGCGCAACCCUCGCCGUCUGUUGUAUCACUCAGACGGGACUGCCGAGAGAAACUCGGAGGAAGGUGGGGAUGAUGUCAGGUCCGCGUGGCCCUUAUGUCUGGGGCUACACGCACGCUACAAUGGCCGGUAACAGCGGGUCGCAACUGCGCGAGCAGGAGCUAAUCCCUUAAAACCGGCCUCAGUUCAGAUCGGAGGCUGAAACCCGCCUCCGUGAAGUUGGAGUUGCUAGUAACCGCAGGUCAGCACACUGCGGUGAAUAUGUUCCCGGGCCUUGUACACACCGCCCGU